RNAcentral lists this ribosomal RNA (468 nucleotides) under uncultured bacterium. RNAcentral describes it as "partial 16S ribosomal RNA". It matches the Rfam family "Bacterial small subunit ribosomal RNA", at positions 28 to 507 of the family's 1533-position model. The record is from RNAcentral.
GACGAACGCUGGCGGCGUGCUUAACACAUGCGAGUCGAACGGAAAGGCCCUGCUUUUGUGGGGUGCUCGAGUGGCGAACGGGUGCGUAACACGUGAGUAACCUGCCCUUGACUUUGGGAUAACUUCCGAAAAGGGGGGCGAGUACGGAAUGGGAGGUCAUCUGCCGUGGAGGGGGUGGGAAAUUUCGGGGGGUGGGGGAAGGAGCCGGGGCUUUUUAGUUUGUUGGUGGGGGUAGUGGUUACCAAGGCUUUUGAGGGUGGCCGGCCUGAGAGGGUGACCGGCCACAUUGGGACUGGGGUACGGCCCAGACUCCUACGGGAGGCAGCAGUGGGGAAUAUUGCACAAUGGGCGGAAGCCUGAUGCAGCAACGCCGCGUGCGGGAUGACGGCCUUCGGGUUGUAAACCGCUUUCGCCUGUGACGAAGCGUGAGUGACGGUAAUGGGUAAAGAAGCACCGGCUAACUACGUG